Molecule: ribosomal RNA, 253 nt
Filed under: uncultured bacterium
Lineage: Bacteria
Description: partial 16S ribosomal RNA
Rfam family: Bacterial small subunit ribosomal RNA
Source: RNAcentral
UACGUAGGGGGCAAGCGUUGUCCGGAAUUAUUGGGCGUAAAGAGCUCGUAGGCGGCUCGUUGCGUCGGCUGUGAAAACCCGCAGCUUAACUGUGGGCCUGCAGCCGAUACGGGCGGGCUGGAGUUCGGUAGGGGAGACUGGAAUUCCUGGUGUAGCGGUGAAAUGCGCAGAUAUCAGGAGGAACACCGGUGGCGAAGGCGGGUCUCUGGGCCGAUACUGACGCUGAGGUGCGAAAGCGUGGGGAGCAAACAGG